Molecule: ribosomal RNA, 292 nt
Filed under: uncultured bacterium
Lineage: Bacteria
Description: partial 16S ribosomal RNA
Rfam family: Archaeal small subunit ribosomal RNA
Source: RNAcentral
GUGCCAGCAGCCGCGGUAAUACCGGCAGCCCGAGUGAUGGCCGAUCUUAUUGGGCCUAAAGCGUCCGUAGCUGGCCUCGCAAGUCCGUCGGGAAAUCCAGUAGCCCAACUACUGGGCGUCCGGCGGAAACUACAAGGCUUGGGACCGGAAGGCUCGAGGGGUACGUCCGGGGUAGGAGUGAAAUCCCAUAAUCCCGCACGGACCACCGAUGGCGAAAGCACUUCGAGAAAACGGAUCCGACAGUGAGGGACGAAAGCCAGGGUCUCCAACCGGAUUAGAUACCCUGGUGUCC